ACCUGGGUGGCUCAGUCGGCUGAGCACCUGACUUCGGCUCAGGUCAUGAUCUCGUAGUUUGGGGGUUCAAGCCCCGCAUCAGGCU
RNAcentral lists this transfer RNA (85 nucleotides) under Felis catus (domestic cat). It matches the Rfam family "tRNA". Rfam says of the family: Transfer RNA (tRNA) molecules are approximately 80 nucleotides in length. Their secondary structure includes four short double-helical elements and three loops (D, anti-codon, and T loops). The record is from Rfam by way of RNAcentral. Lineage: Eukaryota; Metazoa; Chordata; Mammalia; Carnivora; Felidae.